This 321-nucleotide ribosomal RNA is filed under the name uncultured prokaryote. RNAcentral's name for it is "bacterial SSU rRNA". It matches the Rfam family "Bacterial small subunit ribosomal RNA", at positions 26 to 352 of the family's 1533-position model. The record is from RNAcentral.
AGGACGAACGCUGGCGGCGUGCUUAAGACAUGCAAGUCGAACGGAUCUGGUCCUUCGGGACCAGGUUAGUGGCGAACGGGUGAGUAAUGCAUCGGAACGUAUCCUUGAGUGGGGGAUAACGCAGCGAAAGUUGUGCUAAUACCGCAUAAGCUCUGAGGAGGAAAGCGGGGGACCGAAAGGCCUCGCGCUGAAGGAGCGGCCGAUGUCCGAUUAGCUAGUUGGUGAGGUAAAGGCUUACCAAGGCGACGAUCGGUAGCUGGUCUGAGAGGAUGAUCAGCCACACUGGGACUGAGACACGGCCCAGACUCCUACGGGAGGCGC